This 428-nucleotide ribosomal RNA is filed under the name uncultured archaeon. RNAcentral describes it as "bacterial SSU rRNA". It matches the Rfam family "Archaeal small subunit ribosomal RNA", at positions 474 to 903 of the family's 1478-position model. The record is from RNAcentral.
AACCAGCUCUUCAAGUGGUCGGGAUAAUUAUUGGGCUUAAAGUGUCCGUAGCCGGUUUAGUAAGUUCCUGGUAAAAGCGGGUAGCUUAACUAUCUAUAUGCUAGGAAUACUGCUAUACUAGAGGGCGGGAGAGGUCUGAGGUACUACAGGGGUAGGGGUGAAAUCUUAUAAUCCUUGUAGGACCACCAGUGGCGAAGGCGUCAGACUGGAACGCGCCUGACGGUGAGGGACGAAAGCCAGGGGAGCGAACCGGAUUAGAUACCCGGGUAGUCCUGGCUGUAAACGAUGCAUACUAGGUGAUGGCACGGCCAUGAGCCGUGUCAGUGCCGUAGGGAAACCGUUAAGUGUGCCGCCUGGGAAGUACGGUCGCAAGGCUAAAACUUAAGGAAUUGGCGGGGGAGCACCACAAGGGGUGAAGCCUGCGGUUC